Molecule: long non-coding RNA, 722 nt
Filed under: Capra hircus (goat)
Lineage: Eukaryota; Metazoa; Chordata; Mammalia; Artiodactyla; Bovidae
Description: lncRNA (ENSCHIG00000007293.1)
Source: RNAcentral
UUACCAUCUGAUCCACCAGGGAACUCCAUGCCAGAUAACUAAAAGGUGUAAACAAUAAGGAAUCAUGGGAUUUGUAGCAAAUUGGACUCCAGGCUACACUGGGAUGUUGAUGCACCGUGACUUUUUCUCCAUCCCAUUCCAUCUUUGGGUACACUUACAACAACCCUGCUGACCCUAAAGCCUCAUGACUUCAUCUGCCAUCUCGCCCAUUGAUGUGAUCCUUCCCUGCUUCAAAGACCUGUUUCCAGCAUUGGGUCUGAUAUAUACUGAUAAGCCAGUGGCAAUGAUGUUGACAUGCAUUGACAGGACAUGGACAAUCAUUUGCUCCAGGAUGGAACAGCUGUAUUUGUGGACCGCUGCUGCUCCUGCUGCUGCUGCUGCUGCUGCUAAGUUGCUUCAGUCGUGUCCGACUCUGUGUGACCCCAUAGACGGCAGCCCACCAGGCUCCCCCAUCCCUGGGAUUCUCCAGGCAAGAACACUGGAGUGGGUUGCCAUUUCCUUCUCCAAUGCAUGAAAGUGAAAAGUGAAAGCCAAGUCGCUCAGUCGUGUCCAACUCUUAGCGACCCCAUGGACUGCAGCCCACCAGGCUCCUCCAUCCACGGGAUUUUCCAGGCAAGACUUCUGGAGUGGGGUGCCAUUGCCUUCUCCAGUUAUUGUGGACUGAUUUCACUUUUUUAAAAAUAGAAGUAUCUGUCUCUUUGUUGUUGCUGCUCUUUAGUUGC